RNAcentral lists this long non-coding RNA (752 nucleotides) under Danio rerio (zebrafish). Its description in RNAcentral is "lncRNA si:ch211-218p2.3 (ENSDARG00000097946.2)". The record is from RNAcentral. Lineage: Eukaryota; Metazoa; Chordata; Actinopteri; Cypriniformes; Danionidae.
GCGCGCCGCGGAUCUGCUGUGAUCGCGCUCCGUUCACGCGCUCUUCCAUUUUAUUACAGGGAACGCGCUUUAAGAAGAGUCAAAAUCACGGUCUGGAAGUUGAUCGAGUUCAUCUGGAAAGACGCAAGAUCGAUAAUAAACACAACACAAUCAGAUGUGAACAUUAGAAAUCGACUUCCAGCGACUGUUUGCUUCAUAAAAGCCAAUUUCAUGAGACGAGGAGAAAACCACCGCGUAAAACAGCGUCCAUGUGUUUAACAUGCGCUGUCUGAAUUAAGAUAUGUGCAUUAAGCUGCAGGAACGACAGACAGACAGACUGACGGUAAUGUGAUCAUCUACCAGAGGAGCUCCAGAUAUCAGCAGUCCCGCCUCGGGUUGACGGAGGCCGCGUGUCCCGCCCUGACCCCGGCGAGGAGGAUCGGCUCAGCGCUGAAUGACGAGCCACAGACACUCGACGAGCCUCAACGCAUUCAAAUCAAUCAGCCCGGUGUGACGUCAUCGGACACGUGACCGGAGCGGGCCGCUGGAGGUGUAUGAUCUGAGAUCAGAGCGUCAGCUUCUUGAUGCUCGUCUCUGUAUAGAUGCAACAUCUGUGUUUCAUUGGUGCUGGAGUAAUGAUAAACACACUCGCACAGCUGAUCCAAAAGCCACAGUUCGCACGGAUGGAGGUGAGUGCUGGAUAUAUUACUGUUAAAACACCUCUGGAUUUAUUUCUUCAGGCCCUGAAACCCCAGAGAGGCCGACCCUCCACU